RNAcentral lists this ribosomal RNA (818 nucleotides) under uncultured bacterium. RNAcentral describes it as "bacterial SSU rRNA". It matches the Rfam family "Bacterial small subunit ribosomal RNA", at positions 524 to 1340 of the family's 1533-position model. The record is from RNAcentral.
UACGGAGGGUGCAAGCGUUACUCGGAAUCACUGGGCGUAAAGGACGCGUAGGCGGUUUGGAAAGUCAGAUGUGAAAGCCUAUGGCUUAACCAUAGAACUGCAUUUGAAACUUCCAGACUAGAGUGAGGGAGAGGUCAGUGGAAUUAGUGGUGUAGGGGUAAAAUCCGUAGAGAUCACUAGGAAUACUCAUUGCGAAGGCGACUGACUGGAACUUUACUGACGCUGAGGCGUGAAAGCGUGGGGAGCAAACAGGAUUAGAUACCCUGGUAGUCCACGCCCUAAACGAUGUACACUAGUUGUUGCGAUGCAAGUCAUCGCAGUGAUGCAGCUAACGCAUUAAGUGUACCGCCUGGGGAGUACGGUCGCAAGAUUAAAACUCAAAGGAAUAGACGGGGACCCGCACAAGUGGUGGAGCAUGUGGUUUAAUUCGAAGAUACGCGAAGAACCUUACCUGGGCUUGACAUCCCGAGAACCUCUGAGAGAUCAGAGGGUGCCAGUUUACUGGAGCUCGGUGACAGGUGCUGCACGGCUGUCGUCAGCUCGUGUCGUGAGAUGUUGGGUUAAGUCCCGCAACGAGCGCAACCCUCGUCCUUAGUUGCUAACGGUUUGGCCGAGCACUCUAAGGAGACUGCCUUCGUAAGGAGGAGGAAGGUGAGGACGACGUCAAGUCAUCAUGGCCCUUAUGCCCAGGGCGACACACGUGCUACAAUGGGGAGGACAAUGAGAGGCGAUACCGCGAGGUGGAGCAAAUCUAUAAACCUUCUCUCAGUUCGGAUUGCAGUCUGCAACUCGACUGCAUGAAGCUGGAAUCACUAGUA